This is a long non-coding RNA of Magnolia sinica, 1072 nucleotides long. RefSeq lists it as uncharacterized. The record is from RefSeq and is a predicted model, not a curated record. The transcript is spliced from 7 exons. Lineage: Eukaryota; Viridiplantae; Streptophyta; Magnoliopsida; Magnoliales; Magnoliaceae.
AACCUGGAUGGUUUGGAUCAUGUGAUCAUUGAGGGUGUGGCCCCAGUUACGGCGACACGUUGUUUGUGUGAAGUAAGCACUUGGCGCACAUUAGAAGCUCGUAACAUCCAUCUCCUACAAAUGGGGAAGAAUCUCAAAUCGUCUCUCCAUUUCACUUCUCCUCUUUCCUCCCCCUUAGAAAAUACCCAGCCGUAGCUCUCUCUCCCUCCCUCCCUCUCUCUCUCUCUCUGUGCUGCAACCGUUUUUCAUCUUCCUCUUGAAACCCUAACCCUAGUUUCAGCAUUUCAAAGCAUUUCAACUCUCAAAAAUCGCCACAAUUUCAAAUUCUUGCAUCUGAUUUCUAUCAAAUCCUGGGAAUUCUGAACUUCUGAUUAUCUCACGAGAGGAGUUGCUGAAUCUGUUGUUGUUUCUCUCGAUUGAGACCCUAAGAUUUCGGCAUUCUGAGUAGGUGGCAGCAGGGCUGGGCCCAAGAUCGAGGAGGUGGACUAAGGCUAUGGUGGGUUUAUUGGAAAAGAAGAUUGAAGAAACGCAAUUGGAAGAGAUGCAGCUUCAAUUGAAAGAAACUGAAAAGAUGCUAGUGAAGGAACAAGAGGCUAUGGACCAUGGUCACUUUCAAGGCCAUUCUUUUGAUAUUGUAUUAGCCUUUUAGUUUGUUAGACUGGCAAAAGCGUAGUGGGGCUCCUGGAGAUGUGGAGUUGGGCGGCAUAAGGACUAUAGCAUAAGCUCUUGCAAGGUCCAAAAAGGUAGAGUUGGCUAUUAAAACUUCAGAUGAGAAUGCAAACAAGGAUUGAUCAGAGAGAGAUUUCCAGAUGACUAAAAUUGAUCAUCUGCAAGCCCCUCGUGACCUUCCUCUUGCACAACUUUGUAUCAAGGUUUGAUUCAUCAUCUUGAGCUAUUUAUAGUUUUGUUGAAAACUUAAAUGUUUAAACAUGUUUGUUGCAUCAGGACAUGAGUACUCUAAUUUUUAAGUAUAUGACUUCCUGGCAGUUUAUAUGAUGUUUGUGUUUAUACGAAUGAAUAUUCCUUUGACGGUACUGUUUAUUGAUUUGAUAAUCUGUGUUAUAAACUAGGA